GGUGGCAUGCCUAAUACAUGCAAGUCGAACGAGAAAGCACCUUCGGGUGUAAGUACAGUGGCGCACGGGUGAGUAACGCGUAGGUGAUAUGCCUGUUAGUGGGGGACAACAUCGUGAAAACGGUGCUAAUACCGCAUAAGCUUAGUGACAUUGAAAAAGCUAAGGAAAGGGGCUUCGGUCUCGCUGACAGAUUGGCCUGCGUAGCAUUAGCUUGUUGUGGGGUAAUGGCCUACCAAGGCAACGAUGCUUAGCUGGUCUGAGAGGAUGAUCAGUCACACUGGAACUGAGACACGGUCCAGACUCCUACGGGAGGCAGCAGUAGGGAAUAUUGCGCAAUGGAGGAAACUCUGACGCAGCAAUGCCACGUGAGUGAGGAAGGUCUUCGGAUUGUAAAGCUCUGUCCUAUAGGAAGAACGGCACUAGGUAACGCUAGUGUUUGACGGUACUAUAGAAGAAAGCACCGGCUAACUCCGUG
This 475-nucleotide ribosomal RNA is filed under the name uncultured bacterium. RNAcentral describes it as "bacterial SSU rRNA". It matches the Rfam family "Bacterial small subunit ribosomal RNA", at positions 38 to 507 of the family's 1533-position model. The record is from RNAcentral.